Molecule: long non-coding RNA, 600 nt
Filed under: Trifolium pratense (red clover)
Lineage: Eukaryota; Viridiplantae; Streptophyta; Magnoliopsida; Fabales; Fabaceae
Description: long non-coding RNA (TPRA_LNC011106)
Source: RNAcentral
UAAGCUUUAAUUUGGUGAUCUGUACUCAUUUGAAUUCUUCACAUUUCAUUAUAGUUGUUUCAGCAUCCACACUUGAUUCCUUUGUGAAAGCUUAUGGUGAGGUUUCCAGUGCUGAAGUUUUUGUGAGUUUGUGUAACGUUUUACUCCGUGGUUUAACAUACAAAUUUCUGGAGUAACUCUUCCCUUCCCAAGGUAAGGAUUUUCGACAACUUGGUUAGGUGGUGUUUGUUACGAUGACCUGUUUCAUUGGCCCACAAACUCCUCUGGUAUUGAAGUAGGCUUAGUAGGCUUAAAUUAUGACGUUUCAUAUUGAGCACACCAUGAUAUUAAAUUGAUAGUGAGGAUAUGAUGUUGAUCUAUAGUUCAUGAUAUUAAAUUGAUCGUGAGGACAUGAUGUUGAUUUAUGGUUUUGAUUUAAGUCUUGAUAUGCUUUUCUCAGAAUCAAACUUCUCUUGACUUUUCUUAGGUGUUGCAGAAUAUGGUUUUGAUUUAAGUCUUGAUAUGCUUUUCUAAGAAUCAAACUUCUCUUGACUCUUCUUUUACCCAUCAAGAUUUUGUUUUGUAUAAUUUUUUGAUAUAAUUCCUUGUUUGGUAAUCCAG